This 541-nucleotide ribosomal RNA is filed under the name Goffeauzyma gastrica. RNAcentral describes it as "eukaryotic LSU rRNA". It matches the Rfam family "Eukaryotic large subunit ribosomal RNA", at positions 62 to 591 of the family's 3401-position model. Lineage: Eukaryota; Fungi; Basidiomycota; Tremellomycetes; Filobasidiales; Filobasidiaceae. The record is from RNAcentral.
AAACUAACAAGGAUUCCCCUAGUAACGGCGAGUGAAGCGGGAAGAGCUCAAAUUUGAAAUCUAGUAGCCUUCGGCUGCUCGAGUUGUAAUCUAUAGAAAUGUUUUCCGUGCUUGGCUCAUGUACAAGUCCCCUUGGAAACAGGGCGUCAAUAGAGGGUGAGAAUCCCGUACUUGACAUGAAUACCCAGUGCUCUGUGAUACAUUUCAAAGAGUCCGAGUGUUUGGGAAUGCAGCUCAAAAUGGGUGGUAAAUUCCCAUCUAAAGCUAAAUAUUGGCGAGAGACCGAUAGCGAACAAGUACCCGUGAGGGAAAGAUGAAAAGCACUUUGGAAAGAGAGUUAAACAGUAUGUGAAAUUGUUAAAAGGGAAACGAUUGAAGUACAAUCAUGUCACUUGGGUCUUACCACCCUUGGAUGGGGUCAACAUCAGUUUUGAUCGAUGGAUAAGGAUAGGAGGAAGGUAGCACUCUCGGGUGAACUUAUAGCCUCCUGUCGCAUACACUGGUUGAGACUGAGUCUGCUAUUACAGGAUGUUGACAUAAU